AAUAAUAAUAAUAAUAAUAAAAAGGAGAUCUAGUUGAAAUGAGAUUCUUCACAAAAGUUUGAAGGCUAGUGUCAGCCAGACACAUCUAUCAAGGCUCAAACUAAUUUUCAUUCAUCAGAAAAUAAGCACAAAAGAAUUUACCAAUGCUAAGAUGGUUUUUCUCAGCAAAAACCAUGCCAUAAUUGGGACAAAAGACCAGACCCAUUAUAAAAUAUUUUGAGGGACACCAAAUCUAUAAUACAAACAAACUUAACAAUAAGGAAGUAAGAUCAUUAUGUAUCUGAGCAAAACUACAGAAAAGUAAUCAUUAUCUCCAUCAUAAUAUAAUCACUAAGAACUAGCUCUAUAAAAAUUCCACUGAGAAAUUCUUCUCAUGCAACUGCUCAAGACAAGAGACUACAAAAUGAAGAUUAAAAGGGAAAAAUGACCGCUUGAAUAGUUAACACUGAGAUUAAAAAUGAGCCACACUUAAAAGUCAAAGCAAAUUAUUAUAGGUUCCCAAAAAUUAAGCAGAAAGUAAACAAAAAAGGGAGCAUCAGUCAAGCAUGAUUUGAAUAAAAACGCUGAACUUGAUCCAAAUAAAGCAAAUAGCCAAAUACAUCUUGAAAGAUGAAAAUCUAAAAAUUAAAAAUGAAAAUUGAACAUGCUGCAUGACAUAUGUUCUAGUCUGACAGCAUAAACUUCAGAAUAUGGGUUCUCACAAGCACUAAGAAUGCAACUUUCCCAAAACUACCUGUGAAGAAUGACUACAAAGAUAACCUUUACCCUCUAUUUGGGAGGAGGUAGAGUAUAAUAAGGUUUUAUAAAGUAAAAUUUUUCAAAGUAAGAUUUUUCAUGGUUUACAGAGAUUUAUAUAAUUUUCUAGUGUUUGGGAGGAAAUAAAGGUUUUUCAAAGUGUUUGAAGAUUUUAAAGAGAAAACCUCGUUAACUCACUAAUUUGGUGAGUUGGAAAAUGAAGGUUUUUGGAGGUUUUAAAAACCUCCAAAAACUAUACUUUAAAAAACCUUCUAUCCUCCCAAAUAAAAGUUUAAGGUUUCUAAACCUUGAAAAACCUUCGAUUACUUUCAAAAACUCUUUCCCAAACAAAGGGUUAAAGUUCUUGCAUGAAAAUUAUAUAAUACAAAAAGUUGUAUAGGCAAAAAUUGAACCGAUUGCAAGCAAUAAAGCAUCAAAUUCACAACUGCACCCAUUACUAAUUACUAGUUAACAAACAUGUAAUAAAUGAUUCUGAACAUGUAAUACAUGAGUCUGAGCAGUUCAUAUCAAGAAGCUGCUAGAGAUUAAUCCCUUCCAUACCAUCAUAACCAACAGCUAAUGCUUAGCAUAAUUGAAUGAUAAACCAACAGACAAAUUAGCAUGUAAUGAAUAUUAUAAAGAUUAAUCAAAGACCAGAGGCAUAAAACACAUUUUUCCACCAACUAACUCAAAUCCAGCACCCAAAUGUACAUAACUAAAAUCAAUUCCAUUGCCGAUUACUUUAACACUGCAAUAGUGUGAGAAAUUGAUAGAUAAUAUGAAAAGCGAUGCUACCAGUACGAGUCCAAAGCUGGACGAGGGUGCAUUUGCUUUCCUGCAAGGCUGCAACCUACUUCAAUUAGAGCAUCAAAGAAACACAAAAAAUAUUUAUAUAACCAACAGUCUAAGAAAGUAACGCAUAUUUCAUCCUUGGGGAAAAUACCAAAACUUCAAAAACUUGGCAUUAUUUUCCAACAAUUUCUCAUCAACCAAACAAAAACAGAGUAAUCUCGUUAGGAAGACAGAAGAAAAAUAAAGGGGAGGGCAAGCGCUGGAUGCAGAGGUUUAUCGAUCGAUUCAUGUGUUUGUGCUAAUUUCACAACAAAAUCCACCAGGAAGAGAUCGAUGAACCGCUGCCUCCAGUGACUUCACCCCCAAGCCCCAAUCAACAACCACCAAAAACCGAAACAAACAGAAACAGAAACGAAAAAAUAUAAAAUAAAAAUCCAGAAAGCCAAUCAGAAAAUCCCCAAAAGAUCAGAACAAGUAAUUUUCCGUUAAAAAUAAAACGAGCAAUGCGAAACCAGCACAGAUCUGAAGAGAAGGUAUGUAGUUCUCCACUUCUGCUGCCAUGUUUAGGUUCAAAGUUUUGCAUAUGCAUGCAUUUGUAUAUAGUUAAUUUAGUUAAAUAGUGUGAAAGAGAAUUUGGAAUUGAAAGGGAAAGAGGUACAGAGAAAGGCGCGUGAAGCCGUAAACCAGAGGAAUCUAUCCAUUGCAGAGUCACCACGUCCGUACGUUUCUGCCACUGUCCUUCUCUCUCCCCUUCGUUUUGUUCAUAGAAGGAGAAGCCGACAGUCAUUAAAC
Molecule: unclassified non-coding RNA, 2319 nt
Filed under: Hevea brasiliensis (rubber tree)
Lineage: Eukaryota; Viridiplantae; Streptophyta; Magnoliopsida; Malpighiales; Euphorbiaceae
Rfam family: MIR162_1 microRNA precursor family (bases 1785-1879)
Source: RNAcentral